CAAAGGAUAGUUUAAGAAGAAUUUUAAUUUUGGAGAUUAAAGAUAAGAUAAAAUCUUUCCUUUGA
RNAcentral lists this transfer RNA (65 nucleotides) under Carrikerella sp. RNAcentral's name for it is "tRNA-Pro". The record is from RNAcentral. Lineage: Eukaryota; Metazoa; Arthropoda; Insecta; Mantodea; Thespidae.